UGGGGAAUAUUGGACAAUGGGCGAAAGCCUGAUCCAGCCAUGCCGCGUGUGUGAAGAAGGUCUUCGGAUUGUAAAGCACUUUAAGUUGGGAGGAAGGGCAGUAAGCGAAUACCUUGCUGUUUUGACGUUACCGACAGAAUAAGCACCGGCUAACUCUGUGCCAGCAGCCGCGGUAAUACAGAGGUGCAAGCGUUAAUCGGAAUUACUGGGCGUAAAGCGCGCGUAGGUGGUUCGUUAAGUUGAAUGUGAAAGCCCCGGGCUCAACCUGGGGACUGCAUCCAAAAAUGGCGAGCUAGAGUAGGGCAGAGGGUGGUGGAAUUUCCUGUGUAGCGGUGAAAUGCGUAGAUAUGGGAAGGAACACCAGUGGCGAAGGCGACCACCUGGGCUCAUACUGACACUGAGGUGCGAAAGCGCGGGGAGCAAACAGG
This 428-nucleotide ribosomal RNA is filed under the name Pseudomonadota bacterium. RNAcentral's name for it is "Proteobacteria bacterium partial 16S ribosomal RNA". It matches the Rfam family "Bacterial small subunit ribosomal RNA", at positions 355 to 776 of the family's 1533-position model. Lineage: Bacteria; Pseudomonadati; Pseudomonadota. The record is from RNAcentral.